Molecule: unclassified non-coding RNA, 240 nt
Filed under: soil metagenome
Description: partial contains 5.8S ribosomal RNA, internal transcribed spacer 2, and large subunit ribosomal RNA
Source: RNAcentral
AACAUCGCGCACCUGCGGGAACCUGCGGAAGGAUCAUUACGAGAGUGUCACCACUCCCAACCCAUUGUUUACCUACCCGUCCACCGUGCUUCGGCAGGCAGCCCUGUGGGACAGAGCCUCGCCCCCUUUCGCGGGGGGUGCCUGCCGCUUGCCAACCAAAACUCUAGCUGUUUUAGUACCAUCUGAGUCUUCCACAAAUGAACAAAACUUUCAACAACGGAUCUCAGAUCGGAAGAGCAC